Molecule: ribosomal RNA, 2022 nt
Filed under: metagenome
Description: bacterial LSU rRNA
Rfam family: Bacterial large subunit ribosomal RNA
Source: RNAcentral
CCUGGACCCGAAGCGGGAUGAUCUAGCCCUGGGCAGGUUGAAGCGCGGGUAAGACCGCGUGGAGGACCGAACCCACCUGGGUUGAAAACCGGGGGGAUGACCUGGGGCUAGGGGUGAAAGGCCAAUCAAAUUCCGUGAUAGCUGGUUCUCUCCGAAAUGCAUUUAGGUGCAGCGUCGGUUGAUUGCAUCGCGGGGGUAGAGCUACUGGAUGCUUGCGGGCCCGUAUGGGGUACCAAUAGCAGCCAAACUCCGAAUACCGUGGAUGUGUAUUCCGGCAGUGAGUCGGCGGGGGGUAAGCUCCGUCGUCGAGAGGGAGACAGCCCAGACCGUCGUCUAAGGUCCCGAAGCGUGUGCUAAGUGGGAAAGGAUGUGGAGUCGCAUAGACAGCCAGGAGGUUGGCUCAGAAGCAGCCAUCCUUGAAAGAGUGCGUAACAGCUCACUGGUCUAGUGGUUCCGCGCCGACAAUGUAGCGGGGCUCAAGCACACCACCGAAGACGCGGCAGUAUUUUGUACUGGGUAGGAGAGCGUCCCAUGAGGGGCGAAGCGGCCGUGUGAACGCGCCGUGGACUUCAUGGGAGUGAGAAUGCAGACAUGAGUAGCGAGAGACGGGUGAAGAUCCCGUCCGCUGGAUGACCAAGGGUUCCAGGGCCACGUUCAUCGUCCCUGGGUGAGUCGGGUCCUAAGGCGAGGCCGACAGGCGUAGUCGAAUGGAUGAACGGGUGGAUAUUCCCGUACCGGCGGCGUACCGUAAGAGCCGAACGGAUGAGUACUAACCUCCGGUCGCGUGGCGUCGUUCCCUUCGGGGUUCGGGGCGCGUGGCUGUUGGGAGCGUAGUCCUGGUAGGCUAGCGCACAGGGGUGACACGGAAUGGGAGCCGGCCGCGGAGGUGGUUUUCCGUGGUCAAGCACGCAGCCCGUCCCAUAGGCAAAUCCGUGGGACGCAUAGGGUGAGGUGUGAUGAUGGGCGUCCUUUGGACGCGAUAUCCGGUGGUCCAGGCCGUCGAGAAAAGCCUCGGCGCGAGGGGCGUCGCCGCCCGUACCCCAAACCGACACUGGUGGUCAGGUAGAGAAUACCAAGGCGAUCGAGCGAAUCCUGGUCAAGGAACUCGGCAAAUCACUCCCGUGCCUUCGGUAUAAGGGAGACCCCCGGGCGUGAAGAGGCUUGCCCUCGGAGCGUUGGGGGGUGGCACAGACCAGGGGGUAGCGACUGUUUACCAAAAACACAGGUGCAUGCGAAGGCGCAAGCCGCUGUAUAUGCACUGACGCCUGCCCGGUGCCGGAAGGUUAAGAGGAUCCGUCAGCCCCUUUUGGGGUGAAGCGGUGAAUUCAAGCCCCGGUAAACGGCGGUGGUAACUAUAACCAUCCUAAGGUAGCGAAAUUCCUUGUCGGGUAAGUUCCGACCUGCACGAAUGGCGUAACGACUUCCCCACUGUCUCGACCAGGAGCUCGGCGAAAUUGCAGUACGAGUAAAGAUGCUCGUUAAGCGCAGAAGGACGAAAAGACCCCGGGACCUUUACUAUACCUUGGUAUUGGCAUUCGGUGUGGAUUGUGUAGCAUAGGCGGGAGGCCGAGAGGCGCGGUCGCCAGAUCGCGCGGAGCCGUAAGGUGAAAUACCGCUCUGUUCGCAUUGGAUGUCUAACCUCGAACAGUCAUCCUGUUCAGGGACAGUGCCUGGCGGGUAGUUUAACUGGGGCGGUUGCCUCCCAAAGAGUAACGGAGGCGCUCAAAGGUCCGCUCAGCCCGGUUGGCAAUCGGGUUUCGAGUGUAAUCGCACAAGCGGGCUUGACUGCGAGAACGACGGUUCGGGCAGGGACGAAAGUCGGAGAUAGUGAUCCGGUGCCGGCGCACGGGCGCGGCAUCGCUCAACGGAUAAAAGGUACCCCGGGGAUAACAGGCUGAUCAUUCCCAAGAGUCCAUAUCGACGGGAUGGUUUGGCACCUCGAUGUCGGCUCGUCGCAUCCUGGGGCUGGAGCAGGUCCCAAGGGUUCGGCUGUUCGCCGAUUAAAGCGGCACGCGAGCUGGG